CUUGGAACUUCCAUUUCUUCAACUGUAAUAUAAGGAAAAUAAUAGUACUGUUACCGGAAUGGGGUCCUGAUCAAGACUCCAGAGAUGGUUCUUGGAUCUCACACAAGAAAGAAUUCAAGGCAAAUUCAUAUGGCAAAGUGAAAAUCUCUUGCCACUCAGCUAGUAACCCAGUUUUUCUCUCCACCGCCACCUGCUCAGCUUUUAAUGUAUGAAACUUCUAGGGAAGUUUCAGAUGGGAGAAAUAAAGGAGUUAAAAACAUGCUGCCUCAAAAUAUGCUCCUCUGGCAUAUUGACUAUUAUGAAAUAAAG
This 309-nucleotide long non-coding RNA is filed under the name Pan troglodytes (chimpanzee). Its description in RNAcentral is "long non-coding RNA NONPTRT002823". Lineage: Eukaryota; Metazoa; Chordata; Mammalia; Primates; Hominidae. The record is from RNAcentral.